RNAcentral lists this small RNA (77 nucleotides) under Xanthomonas fragariae. RNAcentral's name for it is "sX9 sRNA". It matches the Rfam family "Xanthomonas sRNA sX9". Lineage: Bacteria; Pseudomonadati; Pseudomonadota; Gammaproteobacteria; Lysobacterales; Lysobacteraceae. The record is from RNAcentral.
AUGUACUACGCGUACACUGCGGUUCCUCACGCGCCGUCCGCACCCACCCGGCGACUGCUCACUACAUUUUGUCAGGC